This 180-nucleotide unclassified non-coding RNA is filed under the name uncultured Bullera. Its description in RNAcentral is "sequence contains ITS2". Lineage: Eukaryota; Fungi; Basidiomycota; Tremellomycetes; Tremellales. The record is from RNAcentral.
AGACUCAACCUUCCAGGUUUCUUGCCUGGCCGGUUGGACUUGGGCGUCUGCCGCUUUACUGCUGGCUCGCCUCAAAUGCCUUAGUGACCUACAAGGGGAACUGUGCCCGGCGUAAUACGUUUCGCUAGGCCUGCCUCACAAGGGUUGCUCACAACCGCCUUGACUGGCAACUACUUUUGA